Molecule: ribosomal RNA, 638 nt
Filed under: uncultured bacterium
Lineage: Bacteria
Description: bacterial SSU rRNA
Rfam family: Bacterial small subunit ribosomal RNA (bases 1-543)
Source: RNAcentral
CCUACGGGAGGCAGCAGUGGGGAAUUUUGGACAAUGGGGGCAACCCUGAUCCAGCCAUUCCGCGUGAGUGAAGAAGGCCUUCGGGUUGUAAAGCUCUUUCGCAAGGGAAGAAAACUUAUGAUCGAAUAAAUCAUGAGGUUGACGGUACCUUGAUAAGAAGCACCGGCUAACUACGUGCCAGCAGCCGCGGUAAUACGUAGGGUGCGAGCGUUAAUCGGAAUUACUGGGCGUAAAGCGUGCGCAGGCGGUUUUGUAAGUCGGAUGUGAAAUCCCCGGGCUCAACCUGGGAACUGCGUUCGAAACUGCAAGGCUAGAGUGUGUCAGAGGGGGGUAGAAUUCCACGUGUAGCAGUGAAAUGCGUAGAGAUGUGGAGGAAUACCAAUGGCGAAGGCAGCCCCCUGGGAUAACACUGACGCUCAUGCACGAAAGCGUGGGGAGCAAACAGGAUUAGAUACCCUGGUAGUCCACGCCCUAAACGAUGUCAACUAGUUGUUGGUAGAGUAAAUCUAUGAGUAACGUAGCUAACGCGUGAAGUUGACCGCCGUGGGGAGGUACGGUCGCGAAGUAAGUUAAACGUUAACGAAAGUAAAGUUAGUUACGGCGUUGAGACGNGCGACGGACGACGACGAGGGAGGAGG